ACUUUUUUGGUUAAAAAAUUUACAAGGUUUCCGUUGGUGAACCAGCGGAGGGAUCAUUA
This 59-nucleotide ribosomal RNA is filed under the name Akanthomyces dipterigenus. Its description in RNAcentral is "Lecanicillium longisporum partial 18S ribosomal RNA". Lineage: Eukaryota; Fungi; Ascomycota; Sordariomycetes; Hypocreales; Cordycipitaceae. The record is from RNAcentral.